UACGAAGGGGGCUAGCGUUGUUCGGAAUUACUGGGCGUAAAGCGCACGUAGGCGGAUACUUAAGUCAGGGGUGAAAUCCCGGGGCUCAACCCCGGAACUGCCUUUGAUACUGGGUAUCUCGAGUCCGGAAGAGGUGAGUGGAAUUCCGAGUGUAGAGGUGAAAUUCGUAGAUAUUCGGAGGAACACCAGUGGCGAAGGCGGCUCACUGGCCCGGUACUGACGCUGAGGUGCGAAAGCGUGGGGAGCAAACAGG
RNAcentral lists this ribosomal RNA (253 nucleotides) under uncultured bacterium. RNAcentral describes it as "partial 16S ribosomal RNA". It matches the Rfam family "Bacterial small subunit ribosomal RNA", at positions 524 to 776 of the family's 1533-position model. The record is from RNAcentral.